ACGCACGCUGGCGGCGUGCUUAACACCUGCCAGUCGCACGGAAAGGCCUCUUUCGGGGGGUACUCGAGUGGCGAACGGGUGAGUAACACGUGAGUAACCUGCCCUUGACUUUGGGAUAACUUCAGGAAACUGGGGCUAAUACCGGAUAGGAGCUCCUGCUGCAUGGUGGGGGUUGGAAAGUUUCGGCGGUUGGGGAUGGACUCGCGGCUUAUCAGCUUGUUGGUGGGGUAGUGGCUUACCAAGGCUUUGACGGGUAGCCGGCCUGAGAGGGUGACCGGCCACAUUGGGACUGAGAUACGGCCCAGACUCCUACGGGAGGCAGCAGUGGGGAAUAUUGCACAAUGGGUGGAAGCCUGAUGCAGCAACGCCGUGUGCGGGAUGACGGCCUUCGGGUUGUAAACCGCUUUCGCUCAUGACGAAGCUUUGUGUGACGGUAGUGGGUAAAGAAGCACCGGCUAACUACGUG
RNAcentral lists this ribosomal RNA (466 nucleotides) under uncultured bacterium. Its description in RNAcentral is "partial 16S ribosomal RNA". It matches the Rfam family "Bacterial small subunit ribosomal RNA", at positions 29 to 507 of the family's 1533-position model. The record is from RNAcentral.